AGUGUAUACGUUCAGUUGUAUUAUACUGGGGCAUCGCGUCUGGCUCAGAUUGGCCUUUGGCGGAUCUUUACACAUGCAAGUCGAACGGCGGCACGGACUUCGUUCUGGUGGCGAGUGAACAGGUGAUAAUGUAUCCGGAACGUGCUAGUAGCGCCGGGGAUAACUGCGUAUUAGCUAAUACAUAUACGCCGCAAGGAAAGCGGGGACUGGACUCGCACUGUUAGAGCGGCCGAUAUCGGAUUAAGCUAGUUGGUGGGGUAACGGCUCACAAGGCGACGAUCAUGGUUUGAGAGGACGACCAGCCACACUGGGACUGAGACCUGGCGGAACUCCUACGGAGGCAGCAGGUAAAGGGAAUUUUUGGACAAAUGGGGAAACCUGAUCAGCCAUCCGCGUGUGCGAUGAGGCCUUCAGGAUGUAAACGCCUGGCAGGAAAAAAGAAAACGGCACGGGAUAAUACCCGUGCAACUGACCGUACCUGCAGAAUAAGCACCGGCUAUUCCACACGUGCCAGCAGCCGCGGUAGCCGUGAGGUGCCAAGCGUUAAUCGGAAUUACUGGGCGUAAAGCGUGCGCAGGCGGUUCGGAAAGAAAGAUGCUGAAAUCCCAGAAGCAACUUUGACUGCAUUUUUACUGUUUGAGUGUGUCAGGGAAGUGGAAUUCCGCGUAUGAUGAAGUAAGCAGAAUAUGCCGGAGAGGAACACCAUUGGCGAAGGCAGCCUCUGAGGAUAACACUGACGCUCCUUGCACAAUGGGGAGCAAACGGAUCAGAUACCCUGGUAGUCCCACGCCUGACAAUCAUCAACUAUUUCUGUUGGGCCGGAACUUGGUAGCGCAAUAACGCGUGAGAUGACCGCCUGCGGGAAAUUACAGUCGCAAGAUUAAAACUCAAAAGGAAUUGACGGGACAGCGUGGAUGAUGGAUUAAUUCGAUGCAGCAUGAAAAACGCCCUGCCCUUGACAUGUCUGGAAUCCCGAAGUUACGGGAGUGCUCGCAGAGAACGGAACACAGGUACUGCAUGGCUGUCGUCAGCUCGUGUCGUGAGAUGUUGGGUUAAGUCCACGCAACGAGCGCAACCCUUGUCGUAGUUGCUACGAAAGGGCACUCUAAUGAGACUGCCGGUAUUUGACAAACCGGGGGAAGGUGGGGAUGACGUCAGUCCUCCUUGGCCCUUAUGGGUAGGGCUUCACACGUCAUACAAUGGUCGGGACAGAGGUCGCCAACCGCAGGGAGGCCAAUCCCAGAAACUGAUCAUCAGUCCGGAUCGCAGUCUGCAACUCGACUGCGUGAAGUCGGAAUCCUUCAGUAAUCGCGGAUCAGCAUGUCGCGGUGAAUACGUUCCCGGGUCUUGUACACACCGCCCGUCACACCAUGGGAGUGGGUUUUACCGAUGGUGCAGCCUUCAUGGAGGGCGAUUACACGGUAAGUUCAUGACUAGGGUGAAGUCUGACAACAAGGUAG
RNAcentral lists this ribosomal RNA (1460 nucleotides) under uncultured Bordetella sp. Its description in RNAcentral is "partial 16S-23S ribosomal RNA intergenic spacer". It matches the Rfam family "Bacterial small subunit ribosomal RNA". Lineage: Bacteria; Pseudomonadati; Pseudomonadota; Betaproteobacteria; Burkholderiales; Alcaligenaceae. The record is from RNAcentral.